GCUUACGGACAUACCACCUUAGGCACGCCGAUCUCGUCUGAUCUCGGAAGCUAAGCAGGGUCGGGCCUGGUUAGUACUUGGAUGGUGACCGCCUGGAAUACCAGGUGCUGUAAGCA
RNAcentral lists this ribosomal RNA (116 nucleotides) under Gadus morhua (Atlantic cod). Lineage: Eukaryota; Metazoa; Chordata; Actinopteri; Gadiformes; Gadidae. The record is from RNAcentral.